GGAAAGGUGGCAGAGUGGUCGAAUGCGGCGGUCUCGAAAACCGUUGUGCGGGCAACCGUACCGGGAGUUCGAAUCUCCCCCUUUCCG
This 87-nucleotide transfer RNA is filed under the name Bacillota bacterium. RNAcentral's name for it is "tRNA-Ser". It matches the Rfam family "tRNA". Rfam says of the family: Transfer RNA (tRNA) molecules are approximately 80 nucleotides in length. Lineage: Bacteria; Bacillati; Bacillota. RNAcentral also lists the same sequence under 5 other names. The record is from RNAcentral.